RNAcentral lists this ribosomal RNA (110 nucleotides) under uncultured eukaryote. RNAcentral describes it as "partial small subunit ribosomal RNA". It matches the Rfam family "Eukaryotic small subunit ribosomal RNA", at positions 1676 to 1785 of the family's 1831-position model. The record is from RNAcentral.
UCGCACCUACCGAUUGGAUGGUCCGGUGAAGCCUCGGGAUUGUGGUUUGGCUGCUUUAUUGUGGCCGUACCGCGAGAACUUGUCUAAACCUUAUCAUCUAGAGGAAGGUG